GAUGAACGCUGGCGGCGUGCUUAACACAUGCAAGUCGAACGAUGAAGCCCAGCUUGCUGGGUGGAUUAGUGGCGAACGGGUGAGUAACACGUGAGUAACCUGCCCUUAACUCUGGGAUAAGCCUGGGAAACUGGGUCUAAUACCUGAUAGGAGCGUCCACCGCAUGGUGGGUGUUGGAAAGAUUUAUCGGUUUUGGAUGGACUCGCGGCCUAUCAGCUUGUUGGUGAGGUAAUGGCUCACCAAGGCGACGACGGGUAGCCGGCCUGAGAGGGUGACCGGCCACACUGGGACUGAGACACGGCCCAGACUCCUACGGGAGGCAGCAGUGGGGAAUAUUGCACAAUGGGCGCAAGCCUGAUGCAGCGACGCCGCGUGAGGGAUGACGGCCUUCGGGUUGUAAACCUCUUUCAGUAGGGAAGAAGCGAAAGUGACGGUACCUGCAGAAGAAGCACCGGCUAACUACGUG
RNAcentral lists this ribosomal RNA (466 nucleotides) under uncultured bacterium. RNAcentral's name for it is "partial 16S ribosomal RNA". It matches the Rfam family "Bacterial small subunit ribosomal RNA", at positions 28 to 507 of the family's 1533-position model. The record is from RNAcentral.